CUGGCCCUGAAUCAAGGCGGGCAGUUCCUGACGCUGUUGGUUUCAAGCAGGAGCCUAAAGAGAUGUCUUUCUAUGGUCUGUUGGCCAUUUCAGAACUUGGGCAGUGAAACAGUCAACUCAUUACAGAGAAACAGCU
Molecule: small nucleolar RNA, 136 nt
Organism: Cavia aperea (Brazilian guinea pig)
Lineage: Eukaryota; Metazoa; Chordata; Mammalia; Rodentia; Caviidae
Source: Ensembl